Triticum aestivum (bread wheat) is the source of this 1195-nucleotide long non-coding RNA. RefSeq lists it as uncharacterized. The record is from RefSeq and is a predicted model, not a curated record. The transcript has 4 exons. Lineage: Eukaryota; Viridiplantae; Streptophyta; Magnoliopsida; Poales; Poaceae.
CCCUCCCGCCGCAUUCCCAUCCCCUUCUCUUCUUUGCGGAUGCGCUCGCUUUGGCUAGGCUAGGGUCGUUGCCGAGGCGUGGAGGCGCCCCAGUUCCCCAUCUCCCCGCCUCAGUGAUGGAGAGGUGCGAGAUGGAUGUGGGGAGGAGCGGGCAUGGUGCAGUCUGCAGUGGCCCAAGGAGACGUUGGCCUGGCAGCGGCGGCGGGAGCGGUUGGAGGCGACCACGGGCAUCCAAUCGUCACGGCAAGGGGCCGGUGAUGUGGCUGCUCAAGGUCCGGUUCAUCUUGGAUGUCACGGAGCCUUGCCUCAUUGGACAUGUUCCGCGUGCCCGGUGCCUGCCUGUGCGAGCAGGCGUCGACGGGGCAGAAGGCGGCCCUGUACACUGGCAACGCUUCCUGCACUUGAAAAACCUCGGACAGUGAAGAACAUGGGAGUGCAAGGACACAUUCUGUAUUCUUUAUAUAAUGGUAGGAAGUACUAUGUAAAUAGUGUUUUUGUAGUGACACUGACAAAGCUUAUGCAUGAGAUAGAGCUUCGUUGUACAUUACUUUGCAGGUUUCAAGCCUUUUGAUGGAAGCUCCUGUAUCUUCCUAGCAAGGCUGAUGGACUCUGGUGCUUGGUUUAUUAGGUGAUAACUAAAACGAACAUUCUUUGGCUGACAUUUGAAGUAAGAUUUAAAACAACCUACAGAACAAACUGGAGAGGGUGCACAUCAGAUGGCUCCCUCCCAUGGAGAAUGAACUGAAGAUUAAUAUUGAUGGCACUUUCCACCCUGAACCGAACGCUGGCGGUUGGGGUGCAGUCAUCAGGAAUCAUAAAGGAGAGGUAAAAGUAUGUGGAGCACUUACAUGGAGAUCAGGCUGUUAUAUGGGGUGCCUAGCUAGGAAUGGAUAAAGGAGCCAGACCUAUUGGCCUUGAAACAGAUUCAGUGCUGCUGAAGAAGGGGGUAAACAAUGAUGAAUGUGGCCUCUCUGCUCUCUACCUAGGCUUAGAGGAGAUCAAGGAAUAUCUGAAGCAAAACUUUGAAGUGUGUCAUUUUACUUCUCCUAAGAGGAACUGUAAUAAAGCAGGCCAUUGUUUCGCUAGCUAUGGUUGUACCUUAAGCAUGUAUGAUCAUCUUCAAACAGAUCAUGUAAUUCCACUUGUAUCGGACCUGGUGGCGACUCUUCUCUAAUUUCUGCAUACGUCUCCCCUA